GCCUGGCUAGCUCAAUCGGUAGAGCGUGAGACUCUUAAACCAGUUAUCUCAAGGUUGUGGGUUCGACCCCCACGUUAGGCU
RNAcentral lists this transfer RNA (81 nucleotides) under Rhizoctonia solani. RNAcentral describes it as "tRNA-Lys". It matches the Rfam family "tRNA". From Rfam's summary of the family: Transfer RNA (tRNA) molecules are approximately 80 nucleotides in length. Their secondary structure includes four short double-helical elements and three loops (D, anti-codon, and T loops). Further hydrogen bonds mediate the characteristic L-shaped molecular structure. tRNAs have two regions of fundamental functional importance: the anti-codon, which is responsible for specific mRNA codon recognition, and the 3' end, to which the tRNAs corresponding amino acid is attached (by aminoacyl-tRNA synthetases). tRNAs cope with the degeneracy of the genetic code in two manners: having more than one tRNA (with a specific anti-codon) for a particular amino acid; and 'wobble' base-pairing, i.e. permitting non-standard base-pairing at the 3rd anti-codon position. Lineage: Eukaryota; Fungi; Basidiomycota; Agaricomycetes; Cantharellales; Ceratobasidiaceae. The record is from RNAcentral.